GGCAGCACAGUAAGAGCUUGCUCUUACGGGUGGCGAGUGGCGGACGGGUGAGGAAUACAUCGGAAUCUACUUUUUCGUGGGGGAUAACGUAGGGAAACUUACGCUAAUACCGCAUACGACCUUCGGGUGAAAGCAGGGGACCUUCGGGCCUUGCGCGAUUGAAUGAGCCGAUGUCGGAUUAGCUAGUUGGCGGGGUAAAGGCCCACCAAGGCGACGAUCCGUAGCUGGUCUGAGAGGAUGAUCAGCCACACUGGAACUGAGACACGGUCCAGACUCCUACGGGAGGCAGCAGUGGGGAAUAUUGGACAAUGGGCGCAAGCCUGAUCCAGCCAUACCGCGUGGGUGAAGAAGGCCUUCGGGUUGUAAAGCCCUUUUGUUGGAAAAGAAAUGCAGCUGGCUAAUACCCGGCUGUGUUGCGAGUACCCGAAGAAUAAGCACCGGCUAACUUCGU
This 451-nucleotide ribosomal RNA is filed under the name Stenotrophomonas sp. LR72. RNAcentral describes it as "bacterial SSU rRNA". It matches the Rfam family "Bacterial small subunit ribosomal RNA", at positions 65 to 506 of the family's 1533-position model. The record is from RNAcentral. Lineage: Bacteria; Pseudomonadati; Pseudomonadota; Gammaproteobacteria; Lysobacterales; Lysobacteraceae.